AGAGUUUGAUCAUGGCUCAGGACGAACGCUGGCGGCGCGCUUCACACAUGCAAGUCGAACGGGGUCCAACUAGUGGCAACACUAGGGAAGAUCUAGUGGCGAACGGGUGCGUAACACGUGAGGAACCUACCCCGGACUCCGGAAUAACAGCGGGAAACCGCUGCUAAUACUGGAUAUCGUCAUAUGGUCGCAUGGCCGAAUGACGAAAGAUUUAUCGGUUCGGGACGGUCUCGCGGCCUAUCAGCUUGUUGGCGGGGUAAUGGCCCACCAAGGCAUCGACGGGUAGCUGGUCUGAGAGGAUGAUCAGCCACACUGGGACUGAGACACGGCCCAGACUCCUACGGGAGGCAGCAGUGGGGAAUCUUGCGCAAUGGGCGAAAGCCUGACGCAGCAACGCCGCGUGGGGGAUGAAGGCUCUCGGGUUGUAAACCCCUUUCAGCAGGAACGAAAAUGACGGUACCUGCAGAAGAAGGCCCGGCCAACUACGUGCCAGCAGCCGCGGUAAUACGUAGGGGCCAAGCGUUGUCCGGAUUUAUUGGGCGUAAAGAGCUCGUAGGCGGUUUGGAUAGUCGGGUGUGAAAACUCCGAGCUUAACUCGGAGACGCCACCCGAUACUGCCAUGACUAGAGUCCGGUAGGGGAGCAGGGAAUUCCUGGUGUAGCGGUGAAAUGCGCAGAUAUCAGGAGGAACACCGGUGGCGAAGGCGCUGCUCUGGGCCGGUACUGACGCUGAGGAGCGAAAGCGUGGGUAGCAAACAGGAUUAGAUACCCUAGUAGUCC
This 779-nucleotide ribosomal RNA is filed under the name uncultured bacterium. Its description in RNAcentral is "bacterial SSU rRNA". It matches the Rfam family "Bacterial small subunit ribosomal RNA", at positions 8 to 796 of the family's 1533-position model. The record is from RNAcentral.